CAAAAGCAUCACAGGUCUGUUUGCGUUGACAUUACAGAGAAGAGUUUCACAUUGACUUGUACUUUGUCAUCUCUCCUCUGUGUCUGAUCAUUUGGUGAUGAGUCCAGUCUGUGAACAUCAUGACAGACAUCAUGUUACUGAGUCUCCUCUUUAUUCCAAACACUUUGGCUGCUUGUCCUGAUCUUACAAACCUGUUGAUCACUGCACCAACAGAGAUGGAAGCUCUGAGUGGAUCUUGUUUACAAAUCCCAUGUAACUUUAGUGACUAUGGACUGACUGGGAGCAAUGGAUUUGACAGCACAAGACCUGUGUUUGGAGUGUGGAUUAAAAAUCAUUCCAAUGUUUUUACAUAUCCAAACAAUGAGAUCUUCAACAGCAGUAGGACAGUUAACAUCUAUCCAAUGAAUAUUACAGGAAGCCUGAAGGAGAAAAACUGCACCACUCUGUUUUCCAAUUUAACCACAACUUAUACAAACACAUACUACCUCAGAAUUGUAAACUGGCCGUUCAGAGCAACACCUUUUUGUGAUCCUCUUCAAAUAACAAUUAUAGGUAAGAAAGUUUUCUUUAAUUGCUGUAAAGAAUAAAGUAUAAUCAGUUGCAGCUUUUGUUGACACAACAAACAACAAGAAAUUAUGGUCAAAUGUAACAGACAUCAACACGUUUAAGUGUUUUAUGUCUAGUUGAAAAUUUGUCAAAUUAAGCUGGCUUAGGACAGUAAGUUAUCUUUUGGGAUCUUUAUUGUGAACAGUAACACUGGGAAUCAGUCAAAAAAAAAAAACUGUAGUAAAAGCAGUUUUUAACAAUGUAAAAUACAAACUGUCCUGCACACUGUUAACAAACACAGACAUAUUUACCAAAUACUACCCAAACCUCUCAUAGUUCAAUACCACCUUGUUCAGAAGACCUUAAGCUGCUUGCAAAGCCCUUAAACAUGAACAAGCCCCAGGCAAAACUAAGAAAAAAAAAGAGAGAGAGAACAAGUCCUGCAUUCAAAGAAAAAGUCACUGUUUAAAAGCAUAUUUAUGAUUUUUUAUGUUUAAAUAGUCUGGUUUCCAUUGGAACUUCACAAGUUACUUUUGCAUUAACACAAACUAACUUCCUGACACAAAUCUCUCUCUACAUCUCUUUCCCAACAUUUCCUGCACUUACAGGGGAUGUAAAAGGAAAAAUUCUGUCUGUUAGUGACUAAAAACUAAAAUAGGUUUUGGAUAUUUUUCACUUCUGCAUGU
This is a long non-coding RNA of Oreochromis niloticus (Nile tilapia), 1232 nucleotides long. RefSeq lists it as uncharacterized. The transcript is spliced from 3 exons. The record is from RefSeq and is a predicted model, not a curated record. NCBI's taxonomy places the organism in Eukaryota, Metazoa, Chordata, Actinopteri, Cichliformes, Cichlidae.